AUUGAGUUGCACCCGCCGACGUUUAUCUGCUGGUUUCUGUGAGUUUUUUUCCCACGAUCCUCCACCCAGAUGACAGUUCCUACCAAUAAAGUCACCGUUCACGAUCACCAGUGGGGCGUAGUCCUUGAGUUCGUUGUCCCAGAGGUAGUUUUGGGAAAGAUUUUCCCUUUUUGAGGGAUUUUGAUUUAAGGUUUGGUUUUUGUAGGAUCAGUAUAUACUUCACACUGGCGAAUCGCAGCGGAUUGAGCUUCCUUUUGCUUGCACUCUUUCAGGCAUGGUAUUAACUCUCUCUUACGCUAGAUUUUGACCUGAUGGAGACAGAUUGAUGAAUUCUUAAGGAUUUUAUGUUGUUGCAUUGUGAAUUUGUGAUGCUUGCUUCCUGUAUAUGAUGUAGGGUCUCUCAGCUCAACUAUGCCAUCCAAGAGUGUUUAAUUCAUUCAAAAUUUGCAGAGUUUAUAAACCAUAAUGCUCGAAAUCGAACCCAUGAUUGCAUAGUAUAGGAUGAUCAAAUUAAUAGAGUUGAAGGAUUUGAUGUAUUUAGAAACAUGUAUACCGGUACCGAGAAAAAAAAAUGUUCAUGAUGAACUUAUCAACUCUAUUGAUGAAGUUGUGUUCAUCGCCGGGUUUCUACUAGUUGCAGAGUGUUGUGCUAGUAAGCAGUAGGUGUAAAAUCAUACUAAGGAGAUUGGACAAGAAACAUGUAUGAAAUUAGUGACAAAGUGAUGCGAAUCUGCUGUUUUGAUGUUGGGAUAUGCAUUACUUUGUGUUGGAUUCCUGUCUCGAAAUCGAAACACAAAAUGAGGAUGAGGUAUGCUUGCGAUGCAAAACUGACAUUCUCAGUUCGGCCAGUUUAUGCUCAUUAUUUCCAUUAUAGUUGCAUCUCUACUUCUGUUAUCUGCCAGUUUGGUAGAUAUUUCGCAAGAGUGCCAAUCGAGUGUUCAAUUUUUUGUUUGGUCAUCAUCAUCUUUCGAUCUCGUACCACGAGAUGUUGGUAACACUUGUUCUAACGAUACUUUCAUAAGGAUUCGACGUGACAGAAAAGAGACGACUAUGCGCUGGAGCUGGCCAUGGACAUAACAAGUUGGAAGCCUUUGUUCUUCUUUUCCGAUCUUCUGUUGACAUUUUACCUCGGUCGGCUCGCUCAAGUAGGACGACCUUGAUGAGUUGAGAUAUGUCGAAACAUAACAGUUGCGCCUUCCACGGCCGUGUAAGGUGUGACUUUCUGCUCUGUUGACCGACAUAUCGUUUCUCUCGAGUCAACUUCUCAGCGAGUGAGUCGUUGCGCUAUAUAGCUUCUCUCGGUCCCAUUGAUAGGAGCAUCAGAAUAUUGCUUCUUCAGUGGAAUUCUAUCAUCAGUAGGCAACUUCUCAAGCACCUUGUUGGGUUUCUCUACCACAAGUGUUCCAUGAGCUUUUAGACUCUUUGCUGUUGAAGAUUGUCAGGGAAUGUCAGGUGGUCUCCCGUUGGAGUUCCUAGCUCUUCAUCGAUCUCAUGGUCCCUGGUUAGUAGAUAAAGGUAUAGUUACUUGACGGUUAAGGAAGCUUUGGUGUUCAUAUGAGAAAUGAUGCUCGACAGCAAACUUACAAGCAAAACAUAAGAACUCGGUGGUAUUUCAGCAGGCCUUCCCAAGUCCUUUGGCUGUUAUAGUCGUCAGGUUCGAAUUUGAUGUCUCUGGUGGAUAGAGCAUAUAUGUUAAAAUAAAGAGGAUGAUACAUCCGAAUUAAGGAUUUAAGUGAACAAACAGAGAGGUGUACCCUAGGAGACAGAUUUUGUGGUAAGAUUUCGGGCAACGUUUACAUGUGGCGAACUUCAAAUCAUCGCUGUUGAUAUCUUCCACUUUUUUACAUUGAUGACACUUAUGCGCAGGGCAGAUGAAUGACUAUACGGUUACGAUUCUCCAUAGACAAUCGUCUUCUUUAAAUUUG
RNAcentral lists this long non-coding RNA (1925 nucleotides) under Linum usitatissimum (flax). Its description in RNAcentral is "long non-coding RNA (LUSI_LNC003330)". Lineage: Eukaryota; Viridiplantae; Streptophyta; Magnoliopsida; Malpighiales; Linaceae. The record is from RNAcentral.